GGUAGUGUGUCCGAGUGGUCCAAGGCGCUGGAUUGAGGUUCCAGUAUCUGCGGAGGCGUGAGUUCGAAUCCCACUGCUGCCA
Loxodonta africana (African savanna elephant) is the source of this 82-nucleotide transfer RNA. It matches the Rfam family "tRNA". Rfam says of the family: Transfer RNA (tRNA) molecules are approximately 80 nucleotides in length. The record is from Rfam. NCBI's taxonomy places the organism in Eukaryota, Metazoa, Chordata, Mammalia, Proboscidea, Elephantidae.